UGUUAAGAACCUGGAGAAAGUGAAGGAAUAUGUGCAUCCUUGUUGUUGGAAAGAGACAUUUGUUGAAACUUACAAAGAGAUAAUACAACCAAUGCCUGGCCAGUCUGAGUGGGUUGAGACUAACCAACCUGCUCCUGUUGCUCCUCAUGUGUAUAAACCACCUAGCAGACCACCAAAGUAAAGAAAAAGAGAUCCUGAAGAGCUAAGGAACCCUUAUAGAGUUUCUAGGAUGAACAAAACAAUCAAGUGUGGGAAGUGCAAGAAAGAAGGAUAUAAUGGAAGAGGGUGCAAGGUAGGCAUCACUGGUGAAACUCCAUGGUAGAAAAGAGAUAGACUUGCUAAAUCAAAAGCUGUAAGUAUUUCCAUGCUUUGAACUAUAUUCAUUUCCUCCUAUGUUUCAUGUGUAUGUAAUUUGUACAACCCUCUUUGUAGGCACAGGGUAGUAAAUCUACAAAAACAAAGCAGACUGCAACACCUCAAACUGCAUCUCAGCCACCAAGUACUAGAUCUCAGCUUGCAUAUAGAGCUUUUGGUCAAAUUGCAUCUCAACCUGUACCAAACAAUAGAUCUGAGCCAGGUGUAUCUGUGAGCACUAGUGGUGUACCAAGUCAAGAAGUGGUGGUGGUGCUGCUAGGGGGUUUAAAGGCAAAACGUUUGGUGUAUCAAGGCCAACAAAAUUUUAACUAGUUGGUGGAAAGGGCAAGAAGGUAGUUGGCAAGAGCACCAAAAGCAGUAAAUAAAGAUGGAAGAAGUUAAAGUUUCAACCACUUUUUUUGUUAUAGUUCCCACGCUUAAUGUAUUUGCUUAAAGUAUUUGCUUGAGCAUGGUCAAGUGUCAAAAACAAUAUUGGCAAUUUUGGUUGGAAGAUGUAUAUGUCUAAUGUGUGGUGGACUAGUAGUUGGGUUUUGGUUGGAAGAUGUGUAAAGUCACAGGAUGUGCCAAAAACAAUAUUGGCAAUUAUGUAUGCAUGUGACAUAAAGUUACAAUGACUGUUCACUUCUAUUAAAAGCAGUUAAUGUGCAUUGACACAA
Long non-coding RNA from Quercus robur (English oak), 1031 nucleotides. RefSeq lists it as uncharacterized. The transcript is spliced from 2 exons. NCBI's taxonomy places the organism in Eukaryota, Viridiplantae, Streptophyta, Magnoliopsida, Fagales, Fagaceae. The record is from RefSeq and is a predicted model, not a curated record.